Long non-coding RNA from Homo sapiens (human), 3651 nucleotides. RefSeq annotates it as XPC antisense RNA 1. NCBI's taxonomy places the organism in Eukaryota, Metazoa, Chordata, Mammalia, Primates, Hominidae. The transcript has 2 exons. The record is from RefSeq and is a predicted model, not a curated record.
AGUGAUUCUCGUGCCUGUCUCCUGAGUAGCUGGGACUACAGAUGAACACCACAGACGGGGUAAAUGAUUUGCCUAAAGUCACACAGCUCGUAAGGGCCAGAGCCCACACUUUCAUCCACUAGCCUAUAUUCUGUGCUGUCAUCACUGAUAGCAGUGACUGAGACUGAGAGACAAAGUCACUUAAGAGCUGAUGGCUGGUAAGUGACAAGAACCAGGAUUUACAAUUCAGGUAACUGUCCAUCAGUAGAGCCUGUGUCUCAACAUAUAACCUAUGUCUGCUCACACGCCCUAGAAAGCACUGACAGUUCAGGACUCCCAGUGUGCUCCCCAACAGCGUGCAGUGGCCAAGGCCAAGAUCUUCCCUGGGGAGUGAAGUGGUGAGAGGGGCGCAGGACAGGCAAGGACAGAGUCACGUAACUCUUAGAGGAGUCAGGCAUGGGCGUGCGGCUGAGGGCUGGCCCCUGGGCCUCAGCAUACAGACUUCCUCUAGUGCAGGGGCCCACAAGCUUGUUCUGUAAAGGGUCAUGCGUGGCCUCCAUCACAUAUUCUUUAUUCUUCUCAUUCUUAUAACCCUUUAAAAAUGUGAAAAGCCAUUCCCCAGGUUGGGGGUGGCCUGCGAGCUCUCAUGUCCAUUCCUGCCAUGAUCUCUGGGCGCACCCUCUCUGUCACCACUUCAGGGACAGAGGGACUCUGAGUUCUGACAACCGUCCCUUUCUGAGAAGCCAUUCACCCAGCACACUGUUCAGUAAACUUCCACUGGGAUCUCCUGGAGACCAGGCCAUGACCCAGUCAUGAAGGAGGGAUGGAGCGAGGACAGUCUUUGCUCUUAGGAGCUCAGGCUCCUGCAGGGGAAGAGACAGAGCUACGACUCAGCGUGAUGAGUACAGGGUGGAACAGGAGCUCAGAGGCAAGCCAUUGCCCAGCCCUGAGGACAGUGGAGGCAAGAAAGGCUGCUCAAAACAGGUCCCGCCUGAGCAGAGGCUUAAAGGGGCAAGGGGUUGCCCAAGAGAACAGGGCUGGACCCCACAGGGCACAGAGGUGGGAGAACACUGGGACCUGGGGCCUAAGUCCUCUGGAAUGCAGAGGCAGUGAGCACCAGAACAUCACUGUGCACCAUGGGGAGGGUGCGGGACUCAGACUAAAGGCGCUGGCCAAGGUGGGACAAGGAUGGCCAAGAUGCACAGAAAGAGCCUAGUGACUGACAGGGGAAUGGAUUCAGGCUGGGAAGGAGGCUGUGGCUGUUGCCCAAGCAAAAGAUACUGAGGCAGGAGCUGGGGUGGUGGGGAUCAGAACAAGGGGUGAAUUUGAGAGAUUUGGGAUUCCAGAACUGUGCUACCAUGACAGCCACCAGUCACGUGUGGCCACUGCACACCUGAAACGUGGCUGGUCUGAACUAAGGUACAGAAAGUCAAAUACACAGAAGAUUAGAGAGACUUAGGAACAAAAUGGAUUUAAAUAUCUCAUCAACACUUUAAAAUAUUUCUUACUGCUGAAAUAGUAUUUUAGAUAUAUCUGGAUAUAUUUUAAUGUUAAAAUUCCACCUGUUUUUGGUUUUUAAUGUAGCUACUAAAAAAUUUAAAUGUGUGGCUCACGUUACAUUUCAACUGAACACUGCUAUGCUGGUUCCAGCACAAAAGACAGGUGAGAUGGUGCAGAGAAAAUCCUCAGCAACCCUGCAGGCCCAGGCAGGGGGCAUCGCCCACUCCAGCCUGCUGCUGGCAGUGACUGUGACCAGCGCCUGCAGCCUUUCCCACUAAGCGGAGGCCCCUCCACUCCCCACUCAGCUUCCCGGAGUCUUGCAACCCCCAAGGACUCCUGGGGUCUGAUGAGAAGUAAAUGGUCUCUGUGAUCAGCCACUGUACACUUCCGGUCGUACGGAGCUGUGUGUCCUGUGAAUAGUCUCUGUGGGACCUCGCUCGGUUCGUGUUCCUCAAGAGCAACCAGCCUAACAGUGCCGCAGCACAGUGUGAAAGGAGCACUGGCUUUAAGGCAGAGCCUGGGAUUCUCACCUGGGCUCUGCUCUGCCAUUUUACUAACUGUGGGGACUUGGACAAGUCACUUGCCCUGAGCUUCAGUUUUCUCAUCUGUAAAAUGGGCAUCAUAAUGCCAAUUCCUAUGGCUUUUGAGGCAACAGAGAUCACAUACAUGCAAAAUGCUCAGUGAACUGCCAAACAGAAGGGCAAUCUGACUGGAGAACGUGCUGCUAUAAAGCAGGGCUCUGACCUCCCAGGACCCAGUAACUCAAUUCCAACCUGUAGAACCUUUGAAUUCACAACAGGAGUCUGAGGCCUACUUUUUGGCCUAGAUUUCUUUUGUGUUUUGGAAGAUCCAUUUCUUACAAAUGUCUUAUUAAUAAGACAAUUUAAAUGUUUCUCUCCUCCUUGAAUCCUGCUCAAGCCGGGAAAGUGAGACAUUUCUGAUCAGGAUCCUGGGCAGGACUGGGAGGCUCAUCAUCACUUCUCUGCCCCCAGCUCUCCCGCUCAGCUACAGGCCUGUGUCACCACUCCCCACAGGGACCCCCCAGCUCCAGUUACCUUGUAGGGUACUUCUCCAAGCCUCACCACUCUUGCUUUCUUCAGCCACGUGUCCCUGGAAUGCAGAGUGUGCACACAAUCCCUGUGGAACCAACACAGGACACAAAGGUAACUCAGUCCACAGCCCCACUGCGGGAAUGCGGGACAGUGGAGAGCGCAGCCCUGCAGGCUCCCUCCUCAGGUUCAGCCACCCUGGAGCAGGCCGAGCUCCUAGGGGGCCCAGAGAAGCUGUGCUAGGCAAACAGCCUUGAACGUGGACUGCCUGUCUUUUGGGGGAUGUGUCCACUUACAAACCCUAAUCUGCAGCCUUUGUGCCUUGCCUCCACCACUCCUCCCCUUCAUAGGUUUUCUUCUCCUCUGCUGUCCAGAGCCUGUGAGAGCUCCAGCUGCAGACUAUCAGGAUGGGGUAAAGGCCGCUGUGCGCAGGCACACUCACGUUUACUACCACCACCAAGCGAACACCUGCUGAGGCUCUGAUCUGCUGUUAACACCAUGUGGGGGAGGGAAGUGUCCAGGAGGGGGCAGUGAACCCAAAGGAAGGCUGCAGAGAAGCCAACUAUAAUAAGCUAAUAAGCUAUCACAGAAUCAAGACACCUGCACAUGGAACAGUCAAAUGAUUCCUGCAGGCAAAGUUCCUCUGGCUUCACUCUUCCUCCCGAGCUAAGAGCUCACCAAAGCCGUGCAAAUCUACUUUCCAAUGAGGCUCAACCCCUCCCUUGCCAAGCCAUUUUUAAUAAGGCACGCCCAUCUCAUUAGUUUGCACCCCCUUCACUCUGUCCAGGGAGCGGCUCCAAUGAGCAAGGGCACCCCAUUUCCUCCUAGUGCAGGUUCAGACCCUUACCCACAGAGGAAUCUGAGGCUGAAUUUCAGCACAGCACAAUGGAUGGAGGUUGAACCUUGCCUGUGCCACUUCCUGGCUGGGCCACCUGGACAAGUCACUUUACCUUCCUGAGCCUCAGUACAGACAGUCCCCAAAGUCCAGUGGUUUGAUUCAAGAUUUUUCAACUUUAUGAUGAUGCAAAAGCAAUAUGCACUUGGGAGAAACUGUGCCUCAAGUACCCAUACAACCAUUCUCUUUUUCAUUUUCGGUAUUCAAUAAACUACAUGAGAUAUUCAA